RNA transcript from Melospiza melodia melodia, 2421 nucleotides. It is a transcript of the gene named chromosome 15 C15orf48 homolog, with no coding region annotated. Lineage: Eukaryota; Metazoa; Chordata; Aves; Passeriformes; Passerellidae. The transcript has 6 exons. The record is from RefSeq and is a predicted model, not a curated record.
CCGCCCCUCAGGGCUUUGGGCUCAAAGAGCGCGGGGCGGGUCCGGCCAGCACCUCCUGCCGCAGCCGGGGAGAGCUGAGAGCUGUCUGAGCCGCUCCGCAGCCGCUGCCAGCAUGAGCAAGGGCAUCUUGCACACGCUUAGAACGAAAAGAGAACUCAUUCCCCUGGCCGGAAUAUUGUCCUUCGCAGCAGCUGGGGCGUUCUCUUUUUGUAUCUAUUCCCUCUUCCGCAAAUCUGAUGUGAUCAUUCACAAGAUUGGCAGUUCAGAACCAUGGGAAACUAUUGAUCCUACCAAGCCUCAGAAGCUGGUAACAAUCAAUCAGCAGUGGCAACCUAUAAAAGAGCUGGAAGAGGUGAAAAAGCUGACGAAGUGAGAAGUUUCUGUUGCCUCCCAAAGGUACCCUAUGAAUCUAGUGGAAUCAUUUCUGCACAAACUUGACUACUGAAAUCAGUGUGCGGAAAUGCUUCUGCUACAUUUUUAGGGUCUCCCUACAUUGUUUUGGCCUCUGGAUGAGGAGUUUGAUGUUGCUUUAGAAGCUGGCAUACAGCAUCCACAUAGUCCAAAAAUCUGAAUCAAAAUACUCAUUUUCAAUAAGCAUUUGAUGUAAAUUUUUGAGUAUUCAGAUGGUGAUUAUGGAUCAAAAAAGCCUUCAUAGUUUUUGUAGAAUUUCAGGAUUUGUUUCAAAACACAUUAGUUUUGCCAUUUUAUUAAUUUUUAAUAAAAUAAAUUCUACAUUUUUACAUUUCAUGUAAAUUCAAAAGCCUUUCUAAAUUGGGAAUCCUAGUCUCCUUUCAGAGAUACUGAACUUUCUGUUCUGUAUUUCAAUGUUGUAUGGAGACUAAAGGCAUAACCAGAGGAUGUCUUUGUAUGGCAGCAUAUGUGGUCAUUCAGUACACUUGCAUUCCUUGUCUCUGUUAGAUGUGAGAACAGAUUAACAAAACUAAUGUUGUGCUGCAAAUAUUGAAACUUACACACUGAGGAGUCCAAUAGGUUCUUUAACCUUCUUAUUUAAUUCUAAUUGUAUUUGAGACUGCAGAUUUAGAACCUCAAAACCUAAGGGUUAAGCAUGGCUAGAAGGAAAAUGAAAAUCAGGUAAAUAUUGUUCAUGAUUAAAUGUUUUUGAAGUUACUAGAAUUAGAAAAUCUGCAUCAUCCAAAACUACACAGUGUUAAUUUCUUAUCUUUGUGCAAGGUUGUUCAAGUGCAAGCUGCAAUGUACUGCACAAUUAACAAUAUUUUUAAAGAUUUCUACGUGCUAUUAGGUAUAUCUCUUUUAUCAAAUAGAAACUAGCUGAUUAAAAUUAGGAAUGAUUCUAUGAAGAGGCAGUUCCUCUUUAAGCUUCUGUGUGUUUGAUCAUGGGUUGGCCAGGGAAAGAAUGUAAUGGGCAGGGUCCCAGUAAAAUCAUCCCUUUCUGCGAGGAAGGGAGCAAAAGUGAAACAACUGCUAAUUGGGAAAAGUCCCCUUAAAUGAGUAAUAGUCAAGUGCUUUAGGUCAUUCUGCUGCAGCAAAGACAAGCUUCAUUUAGAAAAGCUGUCUCCUUAAUUCCAAGGUGGCUUUGCUUCAGAAGCUGUUUUCUUCAACUGAGAAAAAAAAUAAUCUAAAUGUUGCAUAAAUAUUUGUUUAUCUAGUAAGGAUGACUCAGCAGCAUUUAUGUUUUAGAGUGAGAGGAACUACUAGUCUUCAGAAUAAGCUUGUGUUUAAGGAAUGACAUUACAAGAAGAUUGAAUAUCAUAGAACCACAAAAAUACAGAGCUCUGAGGAAUACAAGUUUUAAGUAUUUUAAAACAGAAUAUUUUAAAAUCUUUCUGUGUAUUUCUACUGGACUGUAGCAAAAACAAAAUGCCAUGCUCCAAGUUGAUGCAUUAAUUGUUCUUCAAUAACUCACUUUUUUUAGCUGCAAAUACUAUGACCUAAGUAUCUGUCAACAUUGGAAUAAUAAAUCGGGAAGUGCCCGUGGCUCUGCUCAGCUCGGAGCUCUUGGUGAACGCUGGGAGCGCUGCGCCAUCGUCUGGAAAAGCCGGGAACGGCCUGGAAAGCUCCCCGGGGAGGGGAGCCUUUGUCCAUACAGCACAGAAACUCCUUCCCAGCCUCAGGCUCUCCUGCUGCUCAUCCAGAGAGCUGCACUGCUGCUGCUCAUGCAGGAUGGCUGAAGUGGAAAGGAACCCCUGGAACCUGUGCAGUCCUGCUCAAAGGAGGGUCAGCCACAGCAGCUUGCUCAGGGCUGCUUCCAGGUGGGUUUCAUCUAUUUCCACUCCACAACCUGUUCUAGUCUUUGACCACCUGCUGGCACUGGGAGCAGAAAAGGAGGAGCAAUUGCUGCAGAACUGAGGCUGCUCCCUGUAGCUGCUCCUAGAGAGAAGAGCAGUACAGAUUAAUUUUAUGGGCCACAUCUGGCCCAUGAACCACCACUGGAUCAGUCUG